Mustela lutreola (European mink) is the source of this 1386-nucleotide long non-coding RNA. RefSeq lists it as uncharacterized. The transcript has 3 exons. The record is from RefSeq and is a predicted model, not a curated record. Lineage: Eukaryota; Metazoa; Chordata; Mammalia; Carnivora; Mustelidae.
GGAGUAGGAGGAGGCGCCUUUUCAGCCUGUACCCCAAAGUGAGCUGAUUACCUACCAAAGAACUCCGAUCACCCAUGAAAUCAGCCUGAGAUCAGAAUUAUACACGUCUGGAUCUCUAUAGGGGCAGAAGACACCAGUGGGCAGACAUAGGUUCAGAGGAUUGAAGAGGGAGAUCCAAGGAGCUAGCCUCUCAAGAGGAGUGAAUACCUAGUCACUGGAAAAUUUCCAGUUCUCAGUAUAACUGCCCACUGGCCCAGGGGUGGACAAGUGAGUCAGAUGAGACCAAAAUGAAAAUUCUGUUGAGACACUGGACCUUGAGGAUUCAAGCCAAGGACGAAAAAGUGUUGGUACUCCAUUAUUCUGAUGGUCCAUUAACUCUUGCUUUUUUGGUUCCUGUGUCUAUCACAGCCCCUGCCUUUUUGAAGAUAAUGACCACUCAUCUGAGUACACAGUUCACAGAAUCCCUUUGCAGUGGCCCAUGCGGGCCAAGGUAGUAGAGCAUAAUAGAUCUCUGUAAGUUUUUGAAAAAUGUCUUUGUCCCUGUUGCCCAUGGCCAUUAAAAACAAAAGGUCGGGGGUAGGCGAAUAUUGGAAAAGGUGAAGUUAUGGCUACUCACUGAUUUUGUGAUUGGUAGAGAGAAAGAAACACCUACAUACAGGGCCAGUGGGUGAGUGGAGGAAACAUCUUUGGCUCUAGGAGGAAUGGGGGAAGGAGAAAUAUUAAUAAUCUUUGUCUUUGGAACUGCCCCUGAAGACUUCCCCACACAGGAAAAUGACCUAUUGUGACUCUCCUAAACUUCGGCAAGCCCCUUAAAUUUAACUGACAUCUAGAUCUGAUACUCCCUGCUGGAUAACUCUGAUCAUUAUUUGGUUGUUACUUAUUUUAUUUUAAAAUUAUUUUUAAAGAAAAUUUUAAUCUAAAUACAAUUAAUUAACAUAUAAUACUAGUUUCAGACAUACAGGUUAGUGAUUCAUCAGUCUUUUAUAACACCCAGUGCUCACUGUAUCACAUGCCUUCCUUAAUGUCCAUCACCCAGUUACCCCAUCCACCAAUCCCCCUCCCCUCCAAGAACCCUCAGUUUGUUUCCUGUGAUUAAGAGUCUCUUCUGAGGGGUACCUGGCUGGCUCAGUGGGUUAAAGCCUCUGCCUUCAACUCAGGUUAUGAUCUCAGGGUCCUGUGAUCGAGCCCCACAUCAGGCUCUCUGCCUCCUGAGGAGUCUGCGUCCUCCUCUCUCUCUCUUCCUGCCUCUCUGCCUACUUGUGAUCUCUGUCAAAUAAGUAAAUAAAAAUAUUUUUUUUAAGUCUCUUCUGGUUUGUCUCCCUCUUUGACUUCAUCUUGUUUUAUUUUUUUCCUUUCCUCCCCUAUGAUACUGUUUUGUUUCUUAAA